Long non-coding RNA from Malaclemys terrapin pileata, 477 nucleotides. RefSeq lists it as uncharacterized. NCBI's taxonomy places the organism in Eukaryota, Metazoa, Chordata, Testudines, Emydidae. The record is from RefSeq and is a predicted model, not a curated record. The transcript has 3 exons.
CUGUGUAGAGGGUAAGUAUUGCCCCAGGGAAGGUAUUUCAUUUUUUUCAAGUUUCUGGGUUGGGACUCAAGCCAGUGGUGUUUGUUAAUUUUAAGAGGAAUCCCUUGAUAUUUGAACCCACCCCUUUUUGCUCCUGACAACACCUGGCAGAAGGGUUACAACUGCCAACUUUUCUGCAUAAUACAGCAAAAUGGCAUGUCUGGAGGGACACCCCAGAAUAAGGAAAAUGUUUGCAGUCUGGAACUGGGUUACCACACCCAAAGGGGAGAAGGGAAGAAAGCCAGCUGCAGAUACUGAGCAGAAACGGGGCUGCCAUUUUGCAGAUGGUGCAGAUGGGACCUCCUGCUGAGAAGUAAAUUGAGAAUAAGGAAAUGCAGCUCAUCGUGGGAUGAUAUGAGAAACAGACCAUCAAAGUCACUGUAAGGUCUUGCAACAGCUUCUCGAUCCAUGAGGGUACGAACAUUCCAUACACCAAUG